CGCUUUGUUCUUGAAUCCUCCCCAAAGUCCAGUGAAGUAAGUCCUGUUAUUGUCAACUGUCCACCCCAUUUUACAGAUAGGAGAACUGAAGAUUCAGAAAGCUAACUCUGGCCGGGCGCGGUGGCUCACGCCUGUAAUCCCAACACUUUGGGGGGCCAAGGCGGGAGGAUUGCUUGAAGCCAGGAGUUCGAGACCAGUCUGGGUAACAUAGAGUGACACCUGUCUCUACAAAAA
This 234-nucleotide long non-coding RNA is filed under the name Homo sapiens (human). RNAcentral's name for it is "HSALNT0195098". The record is from RNAcentral. Lineage: Eukaryota; Metazoa; Chordata; Mammalia; Primates; Hominidae.